CAAAUUACAGAUGAAUUAUGCAAUUAGUUUCUUUUGUUUAUAUUUAAUACUCUAUGCAUGUGCCGCAAGAUUCGGUGUGAUGAGAAAUCUUAAAAUUAUUUUAGAUUUUGAGUGGAACUGAAUAAGGCCCUAGGUGCCUGUGACCACCCCAGGAUUACUAUAGUCUAGUAUGACCUGGAGUGUAAUCCAUGGCGGCUGGGGCUGCUGCCGUUGGUGGGCUCGGUAGCAGUAAUAUACUUACAAGGUCAGAACAAAGAUGAUGAUACGACUAUAAACUGCAGAGAAGGAUAAGCUAGACAGAGGAAUAGGGCCUAGUAGGGAGAGAAGAAUCGUAGUAGCAGCAGCAGAUCGUCAGAGGGACGGACGGAAAGGGAGGUUGUGACUUGGGGCCCUGGCUGUCGUCGUGGGGUUGGGCUUUGUCACUUGUGGGGGUGCGCUGUCGGUGAAGUGUGUGGCGGGUGGCGGCACUGGCAUAACCACCCUCGCUGCUGCCAGUACGCCGGUAAUAAACUCCCCCACCUACGCGCUUGGCGACCUCAUUUAUGGCGCCCAUGGAGGUUCCAGCCACCGGAGGCCGGAGCCCCUAGCUCAGGGAUCCAACCCAACCUUAUUAGCUGAGCAAGCUGAUCCAAUGAUGCAUCAUCGGUCGCUCUAAUAAUCUGCCCCCACGCUCUCAUUGCUAACUAGCGGCUGUCUGCUGUUAGCUACUAGUAGUAUCUCUAAACUAACCGUGUGGUGUUGCUGAUUGUAUGGUUGCAUCUGAGAUUUGUGGUAAUAAUCCCGAUGAACUUAACCCAAUCUUCUGCUUGCAUUUUAGUACAUUCAUGCAGAUGUGAAUACUGAAACCUUUGUGGAAAAGUACUGCCGUGUGCACUGCGGGAUCAGAAGGACGGGAGAUGGUGUGAUAUGUGGCAAAGGAAGCAGUUGAGCAGAAGAUAGACGAUGUUAUGGUGAAGGGAGCAGUUAAGCCGGGAAGACAACUCUUGUUGAUGCACAACUCCUGCCCGUCAGUACACACAGUGGUGCCGCACACGCACCGGAGGCUUCCUUCACCCAUGUCCAUGGGACGACGCCACGCCGCUGCACUGACGCUGCCGAGCAGGAGCAGGAGCAGGAGACGGGAGCUGUUGGCCGGGCAAUAACUGCGGCAUCCAAUCCAUGCAUCCACUGCCCACGAGGACAACCAAUCCAUCAAUCAAUAAUCUGCCAAUCAUCCACCCAUCCAUCCAUGAUCCAUGGCAACAGAAGCUCCGUAAAAAGGCGGAGCAGCAGGAUCAAUGGCGGGCGGGCUCGCUGCCUCGGCUCUCGGUGGUCGCCCUUGUCUUGUCCAUGCCGAAUUCAAUGAGCCAGUACAGGAUCAGAGGAUGGAACCUUCCGCUACAGAAACGCUGCCGCUGCGAUCUGCCUCCGUACGCGCAUCAUUGGAAAGUGCGGGCUGGCAGAGGCAGGUUGAGGUGGUUGGCUGCUUGUCCUCGACUGUCAGGACCCGUCGCGUAAAAAAUGGUUACAAGGUGAUCACAGCUGCAGUAAUUGGCAGACACCCAAUCAGUCAUCGUACUAAGCUGGUACUCAUGCAUCUCUCGUCCUUGUCAAUUUAGCAUUGUACGUAUUAUAUGGUUGCAAGCACCAAGCAGAAACUAGCGAAUAAAUUGCUCCGAUCCAUAUAGUAUAUCUUCA
Long non-coding RNA from Sorghum bicolor (sorghum), 1677 nucleotides. RefSeq lists it as uncharacterized. The transcript has 2 exons. The record is from RefSeq and is a predicted model, not a curated record. NCBI's taxonomy places the organism in Eukaryota, Viridiplantae, Streptophyta, Magnoliopsida, Poales, Poaceae.